CAUGAAAACAGUGAUAAUGUAAAAUUGAUGGCACAAUCAAUUAUUAUACACGCGGGUUAACACGGCCGACGUAUUGUAUCAUUGAGUCGAAAGAUAACUAUCGGAGCCAAUUAGAGAAUUGUUCGAUCCAUAAAACGAUUGUCAUCGGCGUUGAUUUGCUUUUCGGGGUGGUUAAUGGGAGUGGGGGAUUAAAACUUCAGCGGUAUACGGUUCACGGGUCGAGUCACCAACCCGCGUGUCGGCAAUGGCAAUGGGUCCUGCAAUGACUCACAAAACAAUGCAUAUUCAAUACGACUGCGACACGCCAGCACACCAUUCAUACGUCAUUUUCAACGUCGUCGUGGCGGUCGUUCGGUGUGAAUCAUGUUCAAAAACUGACCGGACGACGAAUGCUACCCCAUGCAGACAACCGAACACGGAAUGAACGUAACAUUCGUAUAACAACCCCCACAGCUGAUUCAGUGAUCCGAUUGAUGGAAAUCUCUCUUUCCCUUUCUCCGUCUCUCUUCACCAAAAACCGACACCUUGCCGCUUUGUCUCGCCUCGCGGGAUGUCACGCUUCGUGUAACUCUGCAUAACGCUACACAAUAUAUAGUUCGAGCUUAUUAAUCGCGUCGCGUUAAACCGAUAAGAAUUAACGGAAUUUAAUUAUCAACAUAGAGAGACCCGACUCUCGCGGUACAGGUAUUCGCACGGAAAUAUUCAAAGAAUUUCGCACGUGUGUAACCUGCUGUGAAAAAAUCGAAUCGUCAUCAAGUGCCCACUGAAGAAAAAUGUCAAAUCUAUAAAAUUGAGGAACACAAAAACUACCCCCAUCAUCGGCCCGUAUCGUACGACGAUGAUUAUAAUAUAGGUACAUAGAUAUAGGUGUUUUACGAGGCGGUGAAAAUUAAUCUUUGUUGAUGAUUCACGUGUAUAUAAAGAGAGACCUGAAAGGUGGUAAGUGGUCUGCGCGUGCAGGGGAGGGUGGCGCAAAAGCAGGAAAGUGGUAGGUAUAUAGCUGCACAUGGAAUCGUAUAUUAGAGUUUUGUGGAAAGGUGCAUCGAGACGUAUAAGCAGACGUCGACAGCGGGCGGGUACGACGAAGGACGUGAGGGCAGUUGACCGAUAGAUCAAGAGGGAGUUCGGACUUGGGUAUCCGGAUAGCAGUCGUUGGUAUAAGGAUAAUAGCUGGUGGGUGGCAUCGUGUGCAGGGAUAUACGAGAAUGGCACGAGGAUAUCGAUACACCCAGUCGUGUGCGCAAAAACUAUACGUAUACAGUCGUAUCAUAGCUGCGUACAUAAAGUGUUGUUUUACAGAAAUCGAAUACUCGGGUUCUAGCUACGAAGCAGGGAGAGAAUGAAGCCUAGUAUCUGCGACAUCGGCAAGUUUGCUACCGCGGAGGGCAAACGGUGUCAGAUAUCAAGUUAACACUGAGCCAUUCGAAAGGGGUCGGCGACGAAUGCAGCAGCAGCAUCGUAUAUACGCCGAGUCCUGGAGGCACACUGCUGCAGGAUUACGGGGCGGGGCAUCUCGCCUCCCUUGCUGGAAAACGACCACCGAGCGGCGUGAGCAGAAGAAGAAGAACAAGAACAAGAAGAAGAAGAAGAAGAACAAGAAGAACAAGAAUAAGCAGAAGUAGAAGAAGGCGGAGAAGCAGUUCGGUUUGUGCAAAGGCGAACAUUGAAUAGUAAAUAAAUAAAACAGAGGUGCCGCUGGUGCCGGCGUUGCUGUUGCUGCUGCUUUGCAUUUAAAACGAGAAUUUUAACGACCUGAUAGAAUACGCUAAAUAUGUAAUGUGGCGGCGAUUAAGAUCGUUAUCUCCGUCCACUCGAGCAUGAAGCGUUAUCGCAGUAAUAAGACGGACGUAUUAUGUACAAUAUACAAAGCUAAGUGCGCGUUAACAAAAACACAAUGAGCGAAAUGAGAGAAAAAAAAAAAACAAAAAAAAACAAGAGAUGGAACUAUAAUGAAGAUUAACUCUGCAAAAUAAUAAAAGACAAAAGAAAAAAAUAGUAACUAAGUAUGCACGUGAUGUGAAAGACGAGAAAAUAUGGGUGGUAAAAAGAAAUGUUUCUGAUAUACGUGUAUACAUAUGUACGCGUUCUCCUCAUAGCUGAACGCGUGCAAAGCGAACUUUGAAGAAAAAAGAAAAAUAUUAAAAAUUAACAUUACAUGCGGAAUAAACAUCCCAUUAAUCCACUCAUUUACAUAUACAUACAUUACAUGCUUGUAUAAAUUAUAAUGCUCUAUGUACGGACACACGUCCACAAUAUAAUGGAUCGAUAUUAACUUUGGAAUGUUCACGUAACGCGCGUUGAUGAGAGAAUUUCUCCGAUUCCCGUAAUGACGACUGCAGUUCCAGACCAUUCGAAAUUUAGGGUUCUGAUUAAUUGGGUAGCGUUGAAACUUUGGAAAAAUUUAGCAAAAACCGAGUUCGAUUCUGUCGGGUAUCCCAUCAGCUCGUCGAUCAAAAAUUCAAAUCUAAGUCAAUUAAAAGGACGACCCUGAACAGGACGUGCGAGAAAAGACCAUCAACUCCGCUUGAUUUUUCUCUGAUAACGACAUGCGCGUAUUCCGUCGACUCGCGAUUAUCGCCAAAGACGAAAUUCACGUUGAAAUAUGCAGAUACAUAGCUUACCGCACACGUACGAGGUGUAAUACCUGUACGGAGUAUGUAUAUAUACGUCACGAGUAUACCGAGUAAAUUACAUAUCUGUACCGUAUAUACGGGGAGAAGGUAAGUGUACCAAAGUUUUCAACUCCGGAGAUAGAAUCUUAGUUAAACUGUGAUAUACGAGAGCUGCAAAGAUCUUUUCGAGAGCAAUGAAAAUUCUUACUUUAUACCCACGUAAGGUUCUACUCCAUAUACCCUUUGUCUUAUAAUAUUCAACUCCACCGAGCCGGUGCGCGCCUUGGAAAAUUCAUCCACUAUAGGUACGUUACCUACCUUGUACUAUAUCAUACUUCUGAUACACGUGAAUACACCUAUAGUAUUUGUUCGCUAAGUAAGUGUAUUAUACAACGCGAUGAGAGCAGAAAAAGAUGAGCGCAGUCUGCAGACAAUAACGCACGUGCCUAUAUUAUAUAUCUACGCGUCUAGUUAUAAGUAGCGAUCGUACGUACUACACACGUACGACACAUUCACGUGUACACGUAUACGUGGCUACAUAACUCACACAAUGUACAUAAGUGCGUGAGUGCAUCGCGUAACGAUUAUAGGGGUAGGUAGGCUGAAAGUUGUAACUAUACACACACGUAUAAUACGAGGUAUAUAACUACGGAAUCGAUAUUUCCACGGUUCGCUGAAAGGCGUGCGGGGUCUUAGCGAAUCACGAGGAAAUAUAUUCGCAGAAGAGAAUGCGAGAAUGAACAAAAAAGACAAAAAAAAAAAAUAGAAAAAAAAAAAAAAUAACGAACGAGAAGAGGAGAAGUAAAAGUAGCGAAAUGCAAAAUGAAUCACCCACGCCUGUAAUUCGCGCGCGUGCAACGGGCAACUUGUACACCGUUGAAAAAUAUUUUCAAUCCCGUUUAAAUCAGACCCACAUAUAUAUUUAUUUACAUAAUAAGUACGUAUGCGUGUACGUAAGGAACGGCAAAUGGCUAAUGGUAUUAUUCCAAGUAGAGCGCCGUCAUAGUUUUACCCAGAAAACACAUCGAAUACAAAUGUGUUUGGUUUUGCGCGAAUUAUCUCGCGAGAAAAAAAAGCUCAAUUAUAAGAAUUAUCGAGCCGUGUGUAUGAAAGCGUCUGGCUGUGCAGAUUAUACAUGUAACGUAAGUGGCUUAUAAUAUACACUCGCGUUAGUACAUGGCGAGAAAUUAUACCUGAAUGAAAUUUGUUUUCUUUUCCUGCAAUAAUAUAUAUAUACAUACAUAUAUGCGAUAAAGUUACGAGGACCUUUAUAUAAAUGAUGAAGCUGCGGUGGAAUAUACGCGCAGUGUACACAUUACACAUUACAUACCUCAUACUGGUCAUACGUGUGUGUACAUAAUAUAGUUACAAAGCUCAUAAAUAAAAAAAUAAAAAAAUGUCGGUUUUUCUCUCAUGAAUAUUGAAAUCUGUAAACGUAUACAUAUAUGUAUUAUUAUCGUACCACGAUGGGAUACACAUACUAGAAUAUUCUAUCGAUAAUCCGAAUC
Molecule: long non-coding RNA, 4120 nt
Organism: Athalia rosae (coleseed sawfly)
Lineage: Eukaryota; Metazoa; Arthropoda; Insecta; Hymenoptera; Athaliidae
Exons: 3
Source: RefSeq, a predicted model, not a curated record